This 286-nucleotide ribosomal RNA is filed under the name uncultured bacterium. RNAcentral's name for it is "partial 16S ribosomal RNA". It matches the Rfam family "Bacterial small subunit ribosomal RNA", at positions 510 to 796 of the family's 1533-position model. The record is from RNAcentral.
AGCCCGCGGUAAUACGUAGGACCCGAGCGUUGUCCGGAUUCACUGGGUAUAAAGGGUGCGUAAGCGGUCUUGUGCGUCAGAGGUGAAAUAUCCGGGCUUAACCCGGAGGGUGCCUUUGAUACGGCAGGACUUGAGUCCGAGAGAGGAUGAUGGAAUUCCUGGUGUAGCGGUGAAAUGCGUAGAUAUCAGGAGGAACACCGGUGGCCGAAGGCGGUCAUCUGGCUCGGAACUGACGCUGAGGCACGAAAGCGCGGGGAUCAAACAGGAUUAGAUACCCUGGUAGUCC